UAGGGAAUCUUCGGCAAUGGACGAAAGUCUGCCCGAGCAACGCCGCGUGAGUGAAGAAGGUUUUCGGAUCGUAAAACUCUGUUGUUAGAGAAGAACAAGGACGUUAGUAACUGAACGUCCCCUGACGGUAUCUAACCAGAAAGCCACGGCUAACUACGUGCCAGCAGCCGCGGUAAUACGUAGGUGGCAAGCGUUGUCCGGAUUUAUUGGGCGUAAAGCGAGCGCAGGCGGUUUCUUAAGUCUGAUGUGAAAGCCCCCGGCUCAACCGGGGAGGGUCAGUGGAAACUGGGAGACUUGAGUGCAGAAGAGGAGGGUGGAAUUCCAUGUGUAGGGGUGAAAUGCGUAGAUAUAUGGAGGAACACCAGUGGCGAAGGCGGCUCGCUGGUCUGUAACUGACGCUGAGGCUCGAAAGCGUGGGGAGCAAACAGG
RNAcentral lists this ribosomal RNA (429 nucleotides) under Gemmatimonadota bacterium. RNAcentral describes it as "Gemmatimonadetes bacterium partial 16S ribosomal RNA". It matches the Rfam family "Bacterial small subunit ribosomal RNA", at positions 355 to 776 of the family's 1533-position model. The record is from RNAcentral. Lineage: Bacteria; Pseudomonadati; Gemmatimonadota.